GGAGCCGGAGGCCACCUUACUCUAAUCUCCAAGGCAUACCGAGGGUCCUCCAGCAAGCAUCACGUGUGCCCGGUGCCCUUCGUGUCUGGGAUGCUGGGAUGGUUGCACUCGGAAGCGGAGCUCUUUGGCGCAGGACGGUGGAGGUACCGCAGAAGCAGGCAGAUCUCCCUGAGUUCGAGGCCAAUCUGAUCUAGGCCAAUCCCGUCUGAAUUCCAGACCAGCUCGGAGUUCAUAGUGAGAACCCUGUCUCAAAAUUUGAAUUAAAUUUUAAAAAGACUCUGGCAGAGCGGAGACAAUCUUGAAAAAGAAGAACCAAGUGGGAAGUAAAUCAAAUAGACCAGCGAACCAAAAGGGGAUUCAGAAACGAGACCACACUUGCAGAGACAGUUUAUGUCAGAAGUGGCGCUGAAGAGCACCCGGAAGGACUAGUCGUAAUUUCAGGGUGCUGGGUCAACUGGAUUUUCACACUAGAAAAUGUUAAGAAGAAAGUCGCCUCACCCGCGUAACGUCAUCACACACAGAUGUGAAUUCAGGGUCAGCUGGGUGACAUCCACACCUGGGCAUGCGGAAGCACAACCAAAAUGCUGUGGAACUCUGUCUGGAGGCCAUGACCUUCUAAGAAACACCAAGAGCUCCUGAUGGCCAUGAAGUUUCCUCCAGUGAAGUGGAAUCAUGUGGAACAGCUGAAAAAUGAUCCCUUUAAAGGAUGAGAACCACUGCACUUUCCAUCACUGUAUGCUUACCCUCUUCCAAAUAGCAGCCUCUGUUCACCUGAGAAAGUAGAGUUGGAGUGGAUUAAAUCUCUGGCACAAUUAAAUCCAUUUAUUUCUCUUUCCCUCUCACUCCCUCUUCCCCUUCCUUCAUCCCUCCCUCCCUCUCUCCCUCUCCCUUCCUCCCUCUCUCCUUCCUUCCUUCCUUCCUUUCUUCCUUCUUUCCUCUUUUGACAGGGUCUCAUGUAGCUCAGGCUGGCCUCAAACUCAUUGUGUGGCUGAGGUUGACCUUAAAUUCCUAAUCCUCCUGUCUCUGCCUCCGUUAGGCUGGGAUUGCAGGAAUGAACCGCCAUACCUAGUUUAUGUGUUUCUGGGAACUGAAUCCAGGGCUUCUGCUCGAUAGUCAAGCAUCCACCCACUGAGGUGCAUCCACAGUCCCAGCCAUUUCUUGUUUAAUGCCUUAUAGUUGUCUUAAUUAUUUCUCUGGUCUCUGUGACCAAGGAUCUGACAGAAACAGCUUAAGGGAGAAGUGGUUUCUUCCGGUUCCUGGUUCCAGGCACACAGUCCGUCACAACGGGGAAGGUAUGUUGGCAGGACCUGGUCUUGUCCAUGUUGAGCAGAGUGUGAGGCUGCUCCCUCACACACCUUCAUAUCAGAAAGCAGAGGGAGCUCAGGCUAGAAGUGGAGCCAGCCAUGCCUCAUGUCCAGAAGGUUCCACAGUCUUCCAAACAGUGCCAGCAAAGCCUGUGGGAACAUUUUAUAUCCACACUAUAAUGAUGAUUAUGUUGUCAUCAAUGUAAAACUGGUUUCCUUUGGUAGUGUUUGAGGCUUUCAGUGUUUUUCUUUUCUUUUCUUUUUUGUCUUUUUUGGUUUUUUCGAGAUAGGGUUUCUCUGUGAAAGCUUGACUGUCCUGGAACUUGCUCUGUAAACCAGGCUGGCCUUGAACCCACAGAGAUCCACCUACCUCUGCCUCUGGAGUGCUGGGAUUAUAGGUGUGUGCCACCACUGCCUGGCUUUCGGUAUUUUUCUUUAGACAUGCUGUCUUUCCUCUUGUUAGAGGCUAGAAACAGCGUGCACAGCAGAUCUUAAACUGUCUGUAGACAUCUUGUUGAGUGAGGACAUGCUGAGCAUUGUUGGGGCUGCCAGGCUUGGGCCCAUUAGAAAGUAGUUUAGGUCUCACCUCAGAGGAUAUCAGAACCAGCUCCAAAUCUUGAGUCAGUUACCAGCUUACAAUCACAUGGUCGUUACACCAACAACGUUCAGUUCACCUGGUUUUCUAAGAGACCCUCAGAUGGGCUCAGCCAGAUGAAGUCUCUUCUCCACCCAGGACUGGGGCAACCCAGGCAUGGGCUUGGUCAAGAUCCCAGGGAGGAUGAGGUGUGGACUACUUUGACAUUCAAGGGUCCUACUGGCUGAAAUUGCUAAAGGUUAGCCAAAGUCAGCCAAGCUAAGGUUCGUCCUUGCUACAAAUAGUUGAAACUGUGGCACUAGCUUUACCACACAGUCACAGAGGCACAGAAAGUAACAUAGUUGUCUCUAUGGAUGACUUAUGCCUCUUGUUUCUACCGUGAGAACGUGGAGCCUCAUACUUCUCGGAUAGGAAUGUAUAGCAGUAGAACCACCUUGGAAAACACUGAGGUUAACAGUGUAUUUCCAGCAGCAGCGGGGUUGGGAGUGUUUCAUCUACAACGGGAAUCUGCAAGGCUCACUGCCAGAGGGCCAGACAGUAAGUGUCUGGGGUUGCACCCGACACCCGGGAGAUUGUGACUACAGCUGUGGUUGCUGGGUAGACAACAUGCAUGUGAACGAGUGUUUUUGUGGUCCAAUAAAACUUGGUCUAUAUUUGCA
Molecule: long non-coding RNA, 2558 nt
Organism: Peromyscus californicus insignis
Lineage: Eukaryota; Metazoa; Chordata; Mammalia; Rodentia; Cricetidae
Exons: 2
Source: RefSeq, a predicted model, not a curated record